Nylanderia fulva is the source of this 434-nucleotide non-coding RNA. The record is from RefSeq and is a predicted model, not a curated record. NCBI's taxonomy places the organism in Eukaryota, Metazoa, Arthropoda, Insecta, Hymenoptera, Formicidae.
AUGCAAAAAAAAAAUAUGAAAGUCUUACGGAAAAAGAAAAAAAAAAGAAAACCUAAACUUUGUUACAAUAGGCAUUAAUUCUGCAAUACAAUUGCGAAAUUAUUUAUCUCACAUUCUUUUUUAUGAUUAUUAUUUCAAGAAUAAAUCAAAUCAAAAUUACUUCGAUAACUCAAUUCAUACUGUAUUGAAAUUCAAUGAUAAGGUAAAGAAAUUCAGUGGUAAUAUCGAUGAAUAUGUAAAUCGUUUAAAUCGAGUUUAUCCUGAACGUGAGCCUAUAAUUGCGCUGAAAUAUACAUUUUAUAUUGAGGAGAUUAAAUGCUGGUUAACACAAUUUCAACAAAGAAUUGAUCGCAAAUCAAUUGAAAGAUAUUGCAAUAUAGAAAUGUCUCACUAUGAAAAGCUAUCCUCGAUACGAAAUGAGUUGGACAGAUAUA